CGCCUCUUGCAAAAACAACGCAUAAGAGGUCCUGCCUGCCCUGUGACUAUAUGUUCAACGGCCGCGGUAUUUUGACCGUGCAAAGGUAGCGCAAUCACUUGUCUUUUAAAUGAAGACCUGUAUGAAUGGCACGACGAGGGCCUAACUGUCUCCUUUUUCAAGUCAAUGAAAUUGAUCUUCCCGUGCAGAAGCGGGAAUAAACACAUAAGACGAGAAGACCCUAUGGAGCUUUAAACACAAAACAGACCACGUUAAACAACCCCCAUACAAGAACAAACUAAGUGGCCCCUGUUGAAAUGUUUUUGGUUGGGGCGACCGCGGGGCAACAAAAAACCCCCAUGUGGAAUAAAAAUACCUUUUUUAAAACCAAGAGCCACUGCUCUAAGCAACAGAAAAUCUGACCUAAUAGAUCCGGCCAAGCCGAUCAACGAACCGAGUUACCCUAGGGAUAACAGCGCAAUCCUCUUUUAGAGCCCAUAUCGACAAGAGGGUUUACGACCUCGAUGUUGGAUCAGGACAUCCUAAUGGUGCAGCCGCUAUUAAGGGUUCGUUUGUUCAACGAUUAAAGUCCU
This 572-nucleotide ribosomal RNA is filed under the name Colomesus asellus (Amazon puffer). RNAcentral describes it as "partial 16S rRNA". It matches the Rfam family "Bacterial large subunit ribosomal RNA", at positions 1817 to 2597 of the family's 2925-position model. Lineage: Eukaryota; Metazoa; Chordata; Actinopteri; Tetraodontiformes; Tetraodontidae. The record is from RNAcentral.